GCUUUCCCUCCAGAGUGGAUCCUGAGUACGGCGGAACACGUGAAAUUCCGUCGGAAUCCGGGAGGACCAUCUCCCAAGGCUAAAUACUCCCUAGUGACCGAUAGUGAACCAGUACCGGGAGGGAAAGGUGAAAAGCACCCCGGAAGGGGAGUGAAACAGUUCCUGAAACCGUGUGCCUACAAGUAGUUAGAGCCCGUUAAUGGGGGAUGGCGGGCCUUUUGUAGAAUGAACCGGCGCGUUACGAU
This 245-nucleotide ribosomal RNA is filed under the name Listeria monocytogenes. Its description in RNAcentral is "partial 23S ribosomal RNA". It matches the Rfam family "Bacterial large subunit ribosomal RNA", at positions 387 to 634 of the family's 2925-position model. The record is from RNAcentral. Lineage: Bacteria; Bacillati; Bacillota; Bacilli; Caryophanales; Listeriaceae.